AUUGAACGCUGGCGGAAUGCUUUACACAUGCAAGUCGAACGGCAGCACGGACUUCGGUCUGGUGGCGAGUGGCGAGCGGGUGAGUAAUAUAUCGGAACGUAUCCAAUAAUGGGGGAUAACUAAUCGAAAGGUUGGCUAAUACCGCAUACGUCCUACGGGAGAAAGCUAGGGACCUUCGGGCCUGGCGUUAAUGGAUCGGCCGAUAUCGGAUUAGCUAGUUGGUGAGGUAAAGGCUCACCAAGGCGACGAUCCGUAGCUGGUCUGAGAGGACGACCAGCCACACUGGAACUGAGACACGGUCCAGACUCCUACGGGAGGCAGCAGUGGGGAAUUUUGGACAAUGGGCGAAAGCCUGAUCCAGCCAUUCCGCGUGAGUGAAGAAGGCCUUCGGGUUGUAAAGCGCUUUCGCAGGAGAAGAAAACUUAACCUCUAACAUAGGGUGAGGUUGACGGUAUCUUGAUAAGAAGCACCGGCUAACUAUGUGCCAGCCGCCGCGGUAA
RNAcentral lists this ribosomal RNA (500 nucleotides) under uncultured bacterium. RNAcentral's name for it is "partial 16S ribosomal RNA". It matches the Rfam family "Bacterial small subunit ribosomal RNA", at positions 30 to 523 of the family's 1533-position model. The record is from RNAcentral.